UACAGAGGUCUCAAGCGUUGUUCGGAUUCAUUGGGCGUAAAGGGUGCGUAGGCGGCGCGGUAAGUCGGGUGUGAAAUCUCGGAGCUUAACUCCGAAACUGCAUUCGAUACUGCCGUGCUUGAGGACUGGAGAGGAGACUGGAAUUUACGGUGUAGCGGUGAAAUGCGUAGAUAUCAGGAGGAACACCUGCGGUGUAGACGGCUUUCUGGACCAUUGCUGACGCUGAGACACGAAAGCGUGGGUAGCAAACAGG
RNAcentral lists this ribosomal RNA (253 nucleotides) under uncultured bacterium. RNAcentral describes it as "partial 16S ribosomal RNA". It matches the Rfam family "Bacterial small subunit ribosomal RNA", at positions 524 to 776 of the family's 1533-position model. The record is from RNAcentral.